Molecule: ribosomal RNA, 522 nt
Filed under: Lewia cf. infectoria CBS 102692
Lineage: Eukaryota; Fungi; Ascomycota; Dothideomycetes; Pleosporales; Pleosporaceae
Description: eukaryotic LSU rRNA
Rfam family: 5.8S ribosomal RNA (bases 202-355)
Source: RNAcentral
AUCAUUACACAAUAACCAGGCGGGCUGGACACCCCCCGCUGGGCACUGCUUCACGGCGUGCGCGGCGGGGCCGGCCCUGCUGAAUUAUUCACCCGUGUCUUUUGCGUACUUCUUGUUUCCUGGGUGGGCUCGCCCGCCCUCAGGACCAACCACAAACCUUUUGCAAUAGCAAUCAGCGUCAGUAACAACGUAAUUAAUUACAACUUUCAACAACGGAUCUCUUGGUUCUGGCAUCGAUGAAGAACGCAGCGAAAUGCGAUACGUAGUGUGAAUUGCAGAAUUCAGUGAAUCAUCGAAUCUUUGAACGCACAUUGCGCCCUUUGGUAUUCCAAAGGGCAUGCCUGUUCGAGCGUCAUUUGUACCCUCAAGCUUUGCUUGGUGUUGGGCGUCUUUUGUCUCCAGUUCGCUGGAGACUCGCCUUAAAGUCAUUGGCAGCCGGCCUACUGGUUUCGGAGCGCAGCACAAGUCGCGCUCUUCGCCAGCCAAGGUCAGCGUCCAGCAAGCCUUUUUUUCAACCUUUGA